Molecule: non-coding RNA, 1342 nt
Organism: Phalacrocorax carbo (great cormorant)
Lineage: Eukaryota; Metazoa; Chordata; Aves; Suliformes; Phalacrocoracidae
Source: RefSeq, a predicted model, not a curated record
GCCACCCUUCGGUGAGGCACCCCCCGCCGCAGCCAGCCGCCCGCCCCAGGCAGGGACACCGCUCGGCCGCCGCGGCCCGGCCGCCCCCGGAGGCGGCAGCGCCCCAGAGCCCCGUCCCUCGCUGGGACCGCCGCGGGAGCGGGGGGCGCCCCCACGGUGGAGGAGGGGGGAGGGACGCCCCUCAGCCCCGCUCCCACGGACGGCGCCCCAGCGCACACCUACCGCGGGGACCCGCCGCUCCCGCGCCGCCUGAGGCAGAGGCGGCCGCCCGCGCCCGCCAGACGCAGGCGCGGGCGGCAGGGCGGGAGCGGCGCCAGCGAUAGAAGGGCGUCGGGAGAGCGCGUUAACGCAGGCGCGGUGGCCAAGUGAGGCGUUUUUCUUCACACCACCUUCCUUGGGGCCUAAUCCCGCACUUAGAGACCCUCGUGCUCAACCUGAAGAAACAAAAGUAGAAGGUAGUUUCACACGUGGGGGCCGAAGAUGCCAGCCGGCGCCCAGGGCCAGCCCUGCCACCUGCGCCUGCUACCGGCGGCCCCGAAGCACGUGCUGGCGCCCACCGCGACGGGCCCGCUCCUGUGAGGAGCAAAUGGCGCCGCUACAAACUGCUGUUUGAAGAGAUGUUCUCCGCAGGCUGCAGCUACCGAGGUCAUCCCGGUUCUUCUCACUGGUCAUCCCUGGGCCCCCAAAAUUCAUUUAAUUAGCUAUUAAUCUCGUUCUGUCUUCUGGUUAGUAAAACAUGAGGUUUCUUCAGCUGUAUCCCCAACCACUUAGAAGGAUUAUUUGCAAUCUAGUUAGUAUUCACUCUACAUUUCCUAUUUUUGUAAACUGAAGAACCACCUUUCACAGUGAGAGCGGGCAAGGGAAGGUGGGGCUGGGUACGCCAGGAGAUGCGCAGUGCUCGCCUGUCUCCACGCACAGGCAGGCACCCGGCAGGGCUCCAGGCACAGCUGGUCCGGCACAAUCGCAAGCAGGCCGCAAAGUCCGACUCGGACACUGACGGGAGCAGCCACGAAACCAGCACAGACAGUUAAGGGCUGACGGCGCUUGAAAGCACCCUAGUGAUGUAAGUAGUAACAACACUACAAGCUGAAGGAAAUCUUUAUUGAUUCAUGUCUGGUGUUUGCUUACCAUUUGAAGUUUUGCUGACCUUUGGUUAGUCCACACAGUCAGUUUUGUUUUCCUCCUGAUAAAUCUUCCUCUCGUAUUCUGCACCACUGUUGUCUAGAAUCAAAACUGUACAAUUCCUGUAUGAACAAAAAUAACUGUCAUUAACUAUUUACCCUAAAUUUUGUGAAAUCUUUUAAAAUAAAAUACAUAUUGUGUUGGUAGGUCAAAAUCAUCA